This is an unclassified non-coding RNA of Ictidomys tridecemlineatus (thirteen-lined ground squirrel), 286 nucleotides long. Its record names the gene 7SK. It matches the Rfam family "7SK RNA". From Rfam's summary of the family: 7SK was discovered as an abundant small nuclear RNA in the mid-70s but a possible function has only recently been suggested. Two independent studies have found that 7SK RNA binds the CDK9/cyclin T complex (known as elongation factor P-TEFb). P-TEFb activates transcription by phosphorylating the C-terminal domain of RNA polymerase II. The record is from Ensembl. Lineage: Eukaryota; Metazoa; Chordata; Mammalia; Rodentia; Sciuridae.
GAAGUGAGGGUGAUUUGGCGGUGACAUCUGUCACCCAUUGAUCAUAUGGUUGAUCUGGCUGAUCUGCCUCACUAGAUGCAUGUCCCCUUCCUCCCUCACCAUGUGCGUCCCUCCCCAUCAAGGCUGUGCGCUCACUCAGUGGAUGAGGACUACUUUCUCCAAUAGAGGAGGACCAUUUUUCCAACAAGAGUAGCUGCACUCUCCUGUAAACUAACUAUCAAGAGCUAGAGUUAGUUCAUAACCCACUUGAAUCAAAGUGUGAAAUAUAACAUAUCAAGAACUGUUU